RNAcentral lists this transfer RNA (87 nucleotides) under Deltaproteobacteria bacterium. RNAcentral's name for it is "tRNA-Leu". It matches the Rfam family "tRNA". From Rfam's summary of the family: Transfer RNA (tRNA) molecules are approximately 80 nucleotides in length. The record is from RNAcentral. Lineage: Bacteria; Pseudomonadati; Myxococcota; Myxococcia.
GCCGAGAUGGUGAAACUGGUAGACACGUUGGACUCAAAAUCCAAUGGCCGCGAGGCCGUGCCGGUUCGAUUCCGGCUCUCGGUACCA